GAAUCCGGAUAGUUCAGAAUUUAGUCAAACAAUGUUAUAAUGCAAAUAACAAAGACAAUGCAAAUUAAAAAUAACAACAAUUAAAGCAUAUAAAGAAGGCGUCAAUUUAACGUUGUUUGGUCAGUAUGACCUACGUCCACAAGCGGAGAAGAGCAAUUUUACUAUAGCAAUAAGAGUACAAAAGAGCGUACAAAAUUAGAGUAAAUACUCUAAUUAAUCCUAAAUACCCCCGAUAGAAUAACCUCACAAGAUCACUCCGAAGAAAAGGAGAUCACACAAGUGUUUCCCAACACUCAACUCUCUUGCAAAAUACUUUCAAUUACUAAAAGAGGAGAAUAAACAAGAAAUGAACAACUCAAAUCUUAUUUUGGUGUGUUUAAGAAAGGAGAGCAGCAGGAGUAUUUAUAGGAGAAAUUGAACUAAGUCUUGCAAGUUUACAAAGGCAAGUUGCCAACUUGAAAGAGAUCUCCACACUUAUUCAAACUUGAUGGCCGAGAAUAAAUCUCUGCCAAGCACACCUUUCUUAUAGGCACAUGCCUAUUUGCCAACUAAGAAUGAGUUGGAUUUUACAAUUAAAAAAAAUCAUCAUUUUCUUGUAAUGCCAAUUAGGCCAUAUUACAAAUCUCCACCUUGGUCUAAUUUUGACCAAUAUAGUAAAUUUGUUUCACAUUGUCCGCAAAAGCCUGAAUGGGCAAAAUCAUUAUUCAUAAAUACCAAUCAAGUUCACGCAAAGCUUGAACUUGACAACUCGAAGAGGUUUUGUGAACAUGUCAGCAUGAUUGUCUCUAGUGUUGAUCUUCUGAACAAACAGUAAUGGUUUCUCGGAUGAAAUGAUACUUUAUAUCAAUGUUCUUCGUCCUCUCAUGAUAUAUCUGAUCUUUAGUCAAGUGAAUGGCACUUUGACUAUCAGAAAAAUGGUAAUACCACCUUGGUGUGAACUGAGUUCCGCAUAUAGACCCUUCAACCAUAAGGCUUCUUUGAUCGCCUCGGUUACUGCCAUAUAUUCUCCUUCGGUAGUAGAUAAAGCUACUACAUGUUGUAAUAUAUCUUUCCAACUAAUAGCGCAAUCACCAAUGCAAAAUAUGUAGCCUGUCAGUGAUCUUCUUUUGUCAAGAUAACCUGCAUAAUCUGAGUCUACAAAACCAACCAAAGUGUUAGUAUUUUUCCCAAAUUCCAGAUAUGUGUUUGAAGUACCUCGCAAGUAUCUGAGAAUCUAUUUCACAGCCUGCCAAUGUGAUUUACCAAGGCAAGCCAUAUACCGGCUUACCACGCUCACUACUUGUAAAAUGUCUGGAUAUGUACAAACCAUUGCAUACAUAAUACUGCCGACUGUACUGGAAUAAGGAAGUUGUGCCAUGUACCUCUCUUCUUCCUCUGACUACGGGGACUGAGCAGCUGAUAAUUUAAAAUGAGCAGCAAGAGGGGUACUAACUGGUUUAGCAUCUUUCAUGCCAAACCUCUCCAAAACUUUCUCCAAGUACUUCUUCUGGGUCCGGAAUAGCCUGUUGGCUUUUCGACCUCUUUUGAUCUCUAUGCCAAGGAUUUUCUUAGCUGCUCCCAAAUUCACUUUUCAGCUGACUUUUCAAAUUGUGAAUUUCUGUUAAAUCCUUAGCAGCAAUGAGCAUGUCAUCAACAUAAAGUAAUAAGUACACAAAUGAACCAUCAUUUAACUUCCGGAAGUAAUACAACUAUCAUACAUACUCCUCGAAUAACCAUGACCCAAUAUAAAUGAAUCAAACCUUUUGUACCAUUGUCUUAGAGACUGCUUUAAUCUGUAUAAGAAUUUCUUCAACAAGCAAACAUGAUCUUCUUUUCUUUCAAUUUCAAAUCCUUCGGGUUGGUGCAUGUAUAUUUGUUCCUCAAGUUCGCCAUGUAAGAAAGUUGUCUUAACAUCAAGUUGUUCUAAUUCCAAAUCAUACAUGGCAACAAAGGCAAGCAAGAUACGAAUAGAGCUAUGUUUAACAACAAGUUAGAAAAUAUUAUUAAAAUCAACACCUUGUACCCGACUAUAGCCCUUUGCAACUAAUCAUGCCUUAUACCUCGCAUCUUCAACCCCUAAUAUGCUAUUCUUUUUCUUGAAGACCCAUUUGCAACCAACAAUUCUUUUUUUCCUGAUGGCAGCGUCACAAUAGACCAAGUACCAUUCUUUUGAAGAGACUCAAUUUCUUCAUUCAUUGCAAUCAGCCACUUGGUUAAGUCAGCACCAGAAAUUGCUUCUGAAUAUUUUGAUGGUUCUCCAAUUUCUUCAGUUUCAUGUGCAACUGAAAAAGCAAAUACAACAUAAUCUUCAAACCUUAAUGGUUGUUUACCUUCUCUUCUUGGUCUAUGUUUGACUAUAGAAUACUCCUCUUCUUCUGGUUCAACUUCAGAAGUCUCAACUUCAUGAAUUUCAGCUUCUGGCUCAACUUCAGGAGUUUCAACUGUAUUUUGCUCCAAAGUUGAUAAGCUUGACUCAGAAGGAAUGCCAAUCUCAACCUACACCAGCUUCUAUGUACUCUUUCCUUUAUCUGUAUUACAAGAACUAGAAGACACUUUUCUAGAAUGUAACAUAGAUGAUUCAUCAAAGGUUACAUCUCUGCUAAUUAUAAAUUUUGGUGUCGUGGGAUCAGGAUACGAUAGUCGGUAUCCUUUCACCCCAGACGCAUACCCAAGGGAAAUGCACUUUUUAGCCCUUGGCUCUAAUUUUCCAUCAUUUAUAUGCAUGUAUGCAGGGCCACCAAAUAUCUUUAAAUCAGAAUAAUUAACAGGAGUACCUGACCACAUUUCCUAUGGAGUCUUAAAGUUCAAAGGUGCAGAAGGAGCUCGGUUGACAAUAUAACAAGCUGUAGAGAUAGCUUCUGCCCAAAAGGCGUUUGUCAAUCCAACAUUUGAAAUCAUGAAACGAGCUCUUUCCAAAAGAGUUCUAUUCAUCCUUUCUGCCACACCAUUUUUUUGAGGUGUCAUUCUCACAGUACGAUAUCGAGCAAUUCCUUCAUUCUUGCAAAAUUCAUUGAAUUCAUCAUUAUAAAAUUUCAAGACAUUAUCUGUUCUAAGCCGCUUAACCUGUUUUCCUAUUUGCUCUUCAAUCAAAACUUUCCAUUGUUUGAAAUUUAAAACAUCACUUUUAUUUUUAAGCAAAUAAACCCAAACUUUCCUUGAAUAAUUAUAAAUAAAAGUUAACAUAUACCUGGCACCACCUUUUGAUGGGGUAUGUGAAGGACCCCAAAGAUCUGAAUGAAUAUAAUCCAAAGUACCUUUUGUUCUAUGAGUCGAUGGAGAUUUAAAGCUGACUUUUUUCUGCCUCCCGAAUACACAAUAUUCACAGAACUCCAUAUUUCCGAUACUUUGGCCACAUAAGAGACCUUAUUUGCUGAGGAUGGAAAGACCUUUUUCCACUCAUAUGCCCCAAUCGCAUAUGCCACAAUUUGGUAAUGUCAGAAUUUGAUUUAUAUAAUGUUGAAACUGCAGCAGCACCUGUAAUAGUAGUUCCCAAUAGAGUAUACAACGUACCGGAUCUGCGUGCUUUCAAGAUCACAAGAGCACUAUGAGAAACUUUCAGAACUCCACCCUCACCUGUGUACUUGCACCCAAGAGAUUCUAGAGUGCCCAAAGAGAUGAGAUUUUUCUUCAAGUCAGGAACAUGUCUAACAUCGGUGAGAGUUCUCACCACCCCAUCGUGCAUUUUGAUUCGGACUGUACCUUUUCCAAUAACUUUGCAGGCAGCAUUGUUUCCCAUCAUGAUAACCCCACCUCCAAUAGAUUCAUAUGUGGUAAAUAAAUCCCGAUUGGGACACAUAUGAUAAGAAUAACCCGAAUCUAAAAUCCACUCAUUGUUAGAUUUGAAACUAUUAUUAGUUACUAAAAAAAUAGUUCCCUCAGUCUCAUUACCAGCUACACUUGCUUCAGCAGUGUCAGUAUUUUUGUGCUCAUUUUUCUUUUGUGUAUGCUUUUCUUUGUUUUUUUAAUUUAAAGCAUUCAAAAAUAAUGUGACAUUUCUUGUGACAAUGUUUGCACAUGACAUUUCUGUAUCUAAAUUUUGACCUUGAUUUAGGUCUCUCACUACUUGAAUCUUUCUUAUUUGAUCUACCUCUUAUGAACAAGCCUUCCCCUUGGUUCCCACUAGUUUCUCCAGUAAUAUCUCUAUCUAUUUGUUCUUUUGAUUUUAAAAUAGAUUUGAUAUCUUUAUAAGAGAUAUUAUCCUUUCCAUAAAGUAUAGUAUCUCUUAUAUGUUUAAAUGACUGGGGUAAGGAAACAAGCAAUAGCACAGCUUGAUCCUCAUCUUUGAUUUUAGCAUUUAUGUUACUUAAAUUCAUAAGAAUAGAAUCAAAAGUAUCAAGAUGCAUAAGUAUAGAGGUACCUUCAGCCAUACGAAAAGUGUAGGGUUUUUGCUUUAGGUAAAGACUGUUUUCUACUAUUCUUUUCAUAUAUAGGGUUUUCAGCUUUUUCCAUAUGCCCUUGGCUGAGCUUUCUGCUGCAACUUCACGUAAAACCUCAUUUGAGAGAUUUAAAAUAAUACAUGUUUUUGCCUAUAAUGGCAAACUCUUCGUCCGUCAUUUUAUCCGGUUUCUUCUCAUUUCCUUGCAGUGCCAAAUCUAAGCCAUCCUUAAUUAGGUUAGCUUCCAUCUUUAAUUUUCACAUUCUGAAGUUUGCACUUCGGUCAAAUUUCUCAACAUAAGACUUUGUUCGAGUCAUUUUGGCUAUUUAAACUAACCCGGUUAGAUCUGGAUCUGAUACUAAUUUGUUAGGAUUGGGAACCCGGGUUAUGCGAAAUUUAGUCAUACAAUGUUAUAAAGCUAAUAACAAAGACAAUGCAAGUUGAAAACAACAACAAUUAAAGCAUAUAAAGAAGAUGCCAAUUUAAUGUGGUUCGGUCAGUGUGACUUACGUCCACAAGCGGAGAAGAGCAAUUUUACUAUAGUAAUAAGAGUACAAAAUAGCGUACAAAAUUAGAGUAAAUACUUUAAUUAAUCCCAAAUACCCCCGAUAGAAUAACCUCACAAGAUCACUCCGAAGAAAA
Molecule: long non-coding RNA, 4996 nt
Filed under: Nicotiana tabacum (common tobacco)
Lineage: Eukaryota; Viridiplantae; Streptophyta; Magnoliopsida; Solanales; Solanaceae
Description: long non-coding RNA (NTAB_LNC008358)
Source: RNAcentral